RNAcentral lists this ribosomal RNA (253 nucleotides) under uncultured bacterium. RNAcentral's name for it is "partial 16S ribosomal RNA". It matches the Rfam family "Bacterial small subunit ribosomal RNA", at positions 524 to 776 of the family's 1533-position model. The record is from RNAcentral.
UACGUAGGGGGCGAGCGUUAUCCGGAUUUAUUGGGCGUAAAGGGAACGCAGGCGGUCUUUUAAGUCUGAUGUGAAAGCCUUCGGCUUAACCGGAGUAGUGCAUUGGAAACUGGGAGACUUGAGUGCAGAAGAGGAGAGUGGAACUCCAUGUGUAGCGGUGAAAUGCGUAGAUAUAUGGAAGAACACCAGUGGCGAAAGCGGCUCUCUGGUCUGUAACUGACGCUGAGGUUCGAAAGCGUGGGUAGCAAACAGG